AGUGAACGCUGGCGGUAGGCCUAACACAUGCAAGUCGAACGGCAGCACAGUAAGAGCUUGCUCUUACGGGUGGCGAGUGGCGGACGGGUGAGGAAUACAUCGGAAUCUACUUUUUCGUGGGGGAUAACGUAGGGAAACUUACGCUAAUACCGCAUACGACCUACGGGUGAAAGCAGGGGAUCUUCGGACCUUGCGCGAUUGAAUGAGCCGAUGUCGGAUUAGCUAGUUGGCGGGGUAAAGGCCCACCAAGGCGACGAUCCGUAGCUGGUCUGAGAGGAUGAUCAGCCACACUGGAACUGAGACACGGUCCAGACUCCUACGGGAGGCAGCAGUGGGGAAUAUUGGACAAUGGGCGCAGGCCUGAUCCAGCCAUACCGCGUGGGUGAAGAAGGCCUUCGGGUUGUAAAGCCCUUUUGUUGGGAAAGAAAAGCAGCAGGUUAAUACCCCGCUGUUCUGACGGUACCCAAAGAAUAAGCACCAGCUAACUUCGUG
Molecule: ribosomal RNA, 492 nt
Filed under: uncultured bacterium
Lineage: Bacteria
Description: partial 16S ribosomal RNA
Rfam family: Bacterial small subunit ribosomal RNA
Source: RNAcentral